UCGGAGGUGGGAUGGCUGGGUCGUAGGGUCGUACUGUUUUUCGUUUUUGCGGGACCUCCGUAUUGUUUUCCACAGUGGUGGCACCAGCUUGCUUUCCCAGAGGC
This is a long non-coding RNA of Lynx canadensis (Canada lynx), 104 nucleotides long. RefSeq lists it as uncharacterized. The transcript has 3 exons. The record is from RefSeq and is a predicted model, not a curated record. NCBI's taxonomy places the organism in Eukaryota, Metazoa, Chordata, Mammalia, Carnivora, Felidae.